CUUUAUUGGAGAGUUUGAUCCUGGCUCAGGACGAACGCUGGCGGCGUGCCUAAUACAUGCAAGUCGAGCGGACCUGAUGGAGUGCUUGCACUCCUGAUGGUUAGCGGCGGACGGGUGAGUAACACGUAGGCAACCUGCCCUCAAGACUGGGAUAACUACCGGAAACGGUAGCUAA
RNAcentral lists this ribosomal RNA (175 nucleotides) under Paenibacillus lautus. RNAcentral describes it as "partial 16S ribosomal RNA". It matches the Rfam family "Bacterial small subunit ribosomal RNA", at positions 1 to 166 of the family's 1533-position model. The record is from RNAcentral. Lineage: Bacteria; Bacillati; Bacillota; Bacilli; Caryophanales; Paenibacillaceae.